Molecule: long non-coding RNA, 289 nt
Organism: Grammomys surdaster
Lineage: Eukaryota; Metazoa; Chordata; Mammalia; Rodentia; Muridae
Exons: 3
Source: RefSeq, a predicted model, not a curated record
AGACUAUCUUCGUGGUAAAGCAAGUACUCCAACAGAGAUGCCUAAUGUGGUGGAAUAAACUGUCUAAACAGAUCUGGACGUGCGAAGGGUUCCAUCAUUAGAGGGAGGUAACCCAGAGCAUCCGUAAUCCAGUUCUUUCUGGUCAAGAUGAUUAAACCUCUGGCUUUUGUGGAGACCUAACAUUCCAAGCUUCCUAAAACAGAAAAAUUAAUCCAGUCAGAUGCUGGUCAGAACCUAUAGAUACAUUUUCUGGUACUCUGGAUUUCCUUACAUCCUCUCCAAAGCCCAC